AUACCCAACACCAGACAGAGCUUUCUAGAAGUCAGAGAUCUGCAAAACAUCAACUUCCCUAACUGCUUUGAAAUUUAGGAAAUAGGGCACUGCUAUAAAAUGUUGUCACUACAUUACAGAAUCCCUGGAGUCUGAUUAAGAGGGACUGAAAGCUCCCAGACACGGAUUGCCUGCCAGCCACAGCACGGAAAGGUCUGAUAAAGUCUUUUUUGGAGACUGCAGCAGCUUUCUGAGCUUCCGAAGGUUGACGCUGUUAGAGUGACAAUGAUGACGGAGCAAAACAGCUUCGAAAUUCCUAAGCAUCCACCC
RNAcentral lists this long non-coding RNA (309 nucleotides) under Parus major (Great Tit). RNAcentral's name for it is "lncRNA (ENSPMJG00000001109.1)". The record is from RNAcentral. Lineage: Eukaryota; Metazoa; Chordata; Aves; Passeriformes; Paridae.